CCAGACUCCUACGGGAGGCAGCAGUGAGGAAUAUUGGUCAAUGGCCGGAAGGCUGAACCAGCCAAGUCGCGUGAGGGAAUAAGGCCCUAUGGGUCGUAAACCUCUUUUGUCAGGGAGCAAAGGCGUCCACGAGUGGACGAAAGGAGAGUACCUGAAGAAAAAGCAUCGGCUAACUCCGUGCCAGCAGCCGCGGUAAUACGGAGGAUGCGAGCGUUAUCCGGAUUUAUUGGGUUUAAAGGGUGCGUAGGCGGAGUGUCAAGUCAGCGGUAAAAUUUCGGGGCUCAACCCCGUCGUGCCGUUGAAACUGGCAGUCUCGAGUUGGAGAGAAGUAUGCGGAAUGCGCGGUGUAGCGGUGAAAUGCAUAGAUAUCGCGCAGAACUCCGAUUGCGAAGGCAUCUCACGAAUCCGCGAUUGACGCUGAUGCACGAAAGCGUGGGUAUCAAACAGGAUUAGAUACCCCGGUAA
Molecule: ribosomal RNA, 465 nt
Filed under: uncultured bacterium
Lineage: Bacteria
Description: bacterial SSU rRNA
Rfam family: Bacterial small subunit ribosomal RNA
Source: RNAcentral